RNAcentral lists this ribosomal RNA (555 nucleotides) under uncultured bacterium. RNAcentral's name for it is "bacterial SSU rRNA". It matches the Rfam family "Bacterial small subunit ribosomal RNA", at positions 57 to 610 of the family's 1533-position model. The record is from RNAcentral.
GCAAGUCGAGCGAGAAAGGCCUUCGGGCUGAGUACAGCGGCGGACGGGUGAGUAACGCGUAGGAAUCUACCCAGUAGUGGGGGACAACUUGGGGAAACCCAAGCUAAUACCGCAUACGCCCUAUGGGGGAAAGCGGGGGAUCUUCGGACCUCGCGCUAUUGGAUGAGCCUGCGUCGGAUUAGCUAGUUGGUGGGGUAAAAGCCUACCAAGGCGACGAUCCGUAGCUGGUCUGAGAGGAUGAUCAGCCACACUGGAACUGAGACACGGUCCAGACUCCUACGGGAGGCAGCAGUGGGGAAUAUUGCGCAAUGGGGGCAACCCUGACGCAGCCAUGCCGCGUGUGUGAAGAAGGCCCUAGGGUUGUAAAGCACUUUCAAUUGGGAAGAAAAGCUGCUGGUUAAUAACCAGUAGCCCUGACAUUACCUUUAGAAGAAGCACCGGCUAACUCCGUGCCAGCAGCCGCGGUAAUACGGAGGGUGCGAGCGUUAAUCGGAAUUACUGGGCGUAAAGCGCGCGUAGGUGGUUUGUUAAGUCAGCUGUGAAAGCCCCGGGCUC